This 253-nucleotide ribosomal RNA is filed under the name uncultured bacterium. Its description in RNAcentral is "partial 16S ribosomal RNA". It matches the Rfam family "Bacterial small subunit ribosomal RNA", at positions 524 to 776 of the family's 1533-position model. The record is from RNAcentral.
UACAGAGGGUGCGAGCGUUAAUCGGAAUUACUGGGCGUAAAGGGCGCGUAGGCGGUUAUGUAAGUUAGAUGUGAAAUCCCUGGGCUUAACCUAGGAACUGCAUCUAAUACUGUGUAACUGGAGUGCGGUAGAGGGUAGUGGAAUUUCCGGUGUAGCGGUGAAAUGCGUAGAUAUCGGAAGGAACACCAGUGGCGAAGGCGGCUACCUGGACUGACACUGACGCUGAGGCGCGAGAGCGUGGGGAGCAAACAGG